This is a non-coding RNA of Podospora conica, 123 nucleotides long. The record is from the annotation of a GenBank genome assembly. NCBI's taxonomy places the organism in Eukaryota, Fungi, Ascomycota, Sordariomycetes, Sordariales, Podosporaceae.
GCCCGGCUGGCGCAAUUGGCUAGCGCAUACGACUUCUACGAGAAUUCCUGCACCUCGUCAAGAGGAUGACAUCAGGAUGAUUGAGUGAUCGUGAGGUUGUGGGUUCGACUCCCACGUUGGGCU